GACGAACGCUGGCGGCGUGCCUAAUACAUGCAAGUCGAACGCAGUGGGGACGGGUGAGUAACACGUGGGUAACCUCCCAUCAGAGGGGAUAACACUUGGAAACAGGUGCUAAACCGAUACUGAUGGAUGGACCCGCGGUGCAUUAGCUAGUUGGUGAGGUAACGGCUCACCAAGGCCACGAUGCAUAGCCGACCUGAGAGGGUGAUCGGCCACACGGGGACGGAGACACGGCCCAGACUCCUACGGGAGGCAGCAGUGGGGAAUAUUCGGCAAUGGACGAAAGUCUGACCGAGCAACGCCGCGUGAGUGAAGAAGGUUUUCGGAUCGUAAAGCUCUUUUGGUAGGGAGGCGGUAUCUAACCAGUAAGCCACGGCUAACUACGUGCCAGCCGCCGCGGUAAUAC
RNAcentral lists this ribosomal RNA (403 nucleotides) under uncultured bacterium. Its description in RNAcentral is "partial 16S ribosomal RNA". It matches the Rfam family "Bacterial small subunit ribosomal RNA", at positions 28 to 526 of the family's 1533-position model. The record is from RNAcentral.